Molecule: non-coding RNA, 19 nt
Filed under: Sarcophilus harrisii (Tasmanian devil)
Lineage: Eukaryota; Metazoa; Chordata; Mammalia; Dasyuromorphia; Dasyuridae
Also listed under: 1 other name
Gene: sha-miR-200a
Source: miRBase by way of RNAcentral
UAACACUGUCUGGUAACGA